UACGGAGGAUGCGAGCGUUAUCCGGAUUUAUUGGGUAUAAAGGGUGCGUAGGCGGGCUUUUAAGUCAGCGGUAAAAAUUCGGGGCUCAACCCCGUCCGGCCGUUGAAACUGGGGGCCUUGAGUGGGCGAGAAGAAGGCGGAAUGCGUGGUGUAGCGGUGAAAUGCAUAGAUAUCACGCAGAACCCCGAUUGCGAAGGCAGCCUUCCGGCGCCCUACUGACGCUGAGGCACGAAAGUGCGGGGAUCGAACAGG
This 252-nucleotide ribosomal RNA is filed under the name uncultured bacterium. RNAcentral's name for it is "partial 16S ribosomal RNA". It matches the Rfam family "Bacterial small subunit ribosomal RNA", at positions 524 to 776 of the family's 1533-position model. The record is from RNAcentral.